CUAAUUGACUAGAUACAGACGAGAGUUGGUCUAGUGAGUUAGAGAAUUUAGAUCAAACAUGUCUGUAAAGCUCUCUGGAAGAAGUAUCGAUCGACGCAACGAUAGCCCUGUCGAUCGAUAUUUUGAAAGGUGUAUCGAUCGAUAUUCGUAACGAAUAAUCGAUCGACACUUUCUCGUGAUUAACAUACGAGAGUUGGAAUCCGAGAUUCAGAUUAGAUAAUCAGAUUGAUUAUAUAUACAGUUUGAAUUCAAGAAUGAUUAACAUCAAUAAACCCCUAAAAACCCAAAUUAAGUUUUACUUAUCAUACCU
RNAcentral lists this long non-coding RNA (310 nucleotides) under Brassica napus (rape). RNAcentral describes it as "long non-coding RNA (BNAP_LNC022723)". The record is from RNAcentral. Lineage: Eukaryota; Viridiplantae; Streptophyta; Magnoliopsida; Brassicales; Brassicaceae.